UACGAAGGGUGCUAGCGUUGCUCGGAAUUACUGGGCGUAAAGGGCGCGUAGGCGGAUAGUUUAGUCAGAGGUAACAGCCCAGGGCUCAACCUUGGAACUGCCUUUGAUACUGGCGAUCUUGAGUACGGGAGAGGUGUGUGGAACUCCGAGUGUAGAGGUGAAAUGCGUAGAUAUGCGGAGGAACACCAGUGGCGAAGGCGGCACACUGGCCCGUUACUGACGCUGAGGCGCGAAAGCGUGGGGAGCAAACAGG
This 253-nucleotide ribosomal RNA is filed under the name uncultured bacterium. RNAcentral describes it as "partial 16S ribosomal RNA". It matches the Rfam family "Bacterial small subunit ribosomal RNA", at positions 524 to 776 of the family's 1533-position model. The record is from RNAcentral.